RNAcentral lists this ribosomal RNA (448 nucleotides) under uncultured bacterium. RNAcentral's name for it is "bacterial SSU rRNA". It matches the Rfam family "Bacterial small subunit ribosomal RNA", at positions 329 to 794 of the family's 1533-position model. The record is from RNAcentral.
UGCCAGACUCCUACGGGAGGCAGCAGUGGGGAAUAUUGCACAAUGGGGGGAACCCUGAUGCAGCGACGCCGCGUGGGUGAAGGAGUACUUCGGUACGUAAAGCCCUAUCAGCAGGAAAGAAAAUGACGGUACCUGACUAAGAAGCCCCGGCUAACUACGUGCCAGCAGCCGCGGUAAUACGUAGGGGGCAAGCGUUAUCCGGAUUUACUGGGUGUAAAGGGAGCGUAGACGGUUAUGUAAGUCUGGAGUGAAAGCCCGGGGCCCAACCCCGGGACUGCUUUGGAAACUGUGUAACUAGAGUACAGGAGGGGCAGGCGGAAUUCCUGGUGUAGCGGUGAAAUGCGUAGAUAUCAGGAGGAACACCAGUGGCGAAGGCGGCUUACUGGACUGUAACUGACGUUGAGGCUCGAAAGCGUGGGGAGCAAACAGGAUUAGAUACCCCCGUAGU